AGUGAACGCUGGCGGUAGGCCUAGCACAUGCAAGUCGAACGGCAGCACAGAGGAGCUUGCUCCUUGGGUGGCGAGUGGCGGACGGGUGAGGAAUACAUCGGAAUCUACUCUGUCGUGGGGGAUAACGUAGGGAAACUUACGCUAAUACCGCAUACGACCUACGGGUGAAAGCAGGGGAUCUUCGGACCUUGCGCGAUUGAAUGAGCCGAUGUCGGAUUAGCUAGUUGGCGGGGUAAAGGCCCACCAAGGCGACGAUCCGUAGCUGGUCUGAGAGGAGGAGAAGCCACACUGGAACUAAGACACGGGCCAGACUCCUACGGGAGGCAGCAGUGGGGAAUAUUGGACAAUGGGCGCAAGCCUGCUCCAGCCAUACCGCGUGGGUGAAGAAGGCCUUCGGGUUGUAAAGCCCUUUUGUUGGGAAAGAAAUCCAUCUGGUUAAUACCCGGGUGGGAUGACGGUACCCAAGGAAUAAGCACCGGCUAACUUCGUGCCAGCAGCCGCCGUAA
RNAcentral lists this ribosomal RNA (506 nucleotides) under uncultured bacterium. RNAcentral describes it as "partial 16S ribosomal RNA". It matches the Rfam family "Bacterial small subunit ribosomal RNA", at positions 29 to 523 of the family's 1533-position model. The record is from RNAcentral.